UGAGUAGACGAUGCGGGACCUUGGGGAAGUUGGUGACAUAUUUCCUGAAUGUGUAUUGGCCUGUGUUGCCGUGACAGCAUAGAUCUGCAAUGAAAGAACUUCAUUAUAAACAUAUGUUCCCAGCCAGGUCCUUGCUUGGAAAGAGAAGCAAAAAAGAAAAGGAUUAUGCAAUAGACACGCCAAACACCAAGGCAAUGCGAAAUAUUCACUGAUUUUACUCAUAUUUUUCGACAACGCAUAUAAACUGGCCCUAAACAUUAUAUUAAAUAACAAUAAUGAAAAGAACUUCUUAAGGCACUCAGUCACAGGUUAUGAUCCUACCACCUACCAUUUUUACACUGUAAAAUGACCAUGUCAGUACUGAUUUUAUAUGAAGCUACAAAGAGAUAAUAAUAAUAACAACGACAUUGAUGAAAACUGAAAUCACAAUAUAUAGAAAACUGAAAUCACAAUAUAUAGAAAACUUGGUGUCACACCCUCCCUACGUCAUGGCAGUACCUGACCUCUAUUCUAAUAAAAUCAUAUUAUAACAAUUUGCAUAUAUAUACCUGACCUGUGUUAUAACAGAAUUUAUAUAUAUGCUUCACUCAGUGUGCCUACAAUUUUUAGAAUGUAAAUUUUCCCAUGUUUUGAGAAACCAUUUUAGGAUUGCAAGGAACAAUUUUGCAAAGUAUAACAUUGCAAGUAAAUCACGAAGAGUUACUAAGAAGCUACCUAGCGUGUAGCAUGGAAUCUCUUUCGUCAGCACACUCAACCAAGAGCACCAUUACAUAGAACAAAGAGGUGUAGGAAAAAUAGUUUGUUUCAUGUAUACUUGUAAACGAUAUUGCCAUUUUCCAAUAAAUAAAGUCAUUUCCUAAAAAAAACGCAUAUAAACUGGCCCUAAACAUUAUAUUAAAUAACAAUAAUGAAAAGAACUUCUUAAGGCACUCAGUCACAGGUUAUGAUCCUACCACCUACCAUUUUUACACUGUAAAAUGACCAUGUCAGUACUGAUUUUAUAUGAAGCUACAAAGAGAUAAUAAUAAUAACAACGACAUUGAUGAAAACUGAAAUCACAAUAUAUAGAAAACUUGGUGUCACACCCUCCCUACGUCAUGGCAGUACCUGACCUCUAUUCUAAUAAAAUCAUAUUAUAACAAUUUGCAUAUAUAUACCUG
RNAcentral lists this long non-coding RNA (1160 nucleotides) under Triticum aestivum (bread wheat). Its description in RNAcentral is "long non-coding RNA (TAES_LNC003389)". Lineage: Eukaryota; Viridiplantae; Streptophyta; Magnoliopsida; Poales; Poaceae. The record is from RNAcentral.